CCAUGCACUCUACUAAUUAUCCUCAGUUCUGAUUUUAUUUCAAAUGAUUUAAUGUCUCACCAUAACUGAGACUCUAAUAUUUAAAAAUGCAAAGAAACAAAUAUAUUUCUAUACCCUCAUGACCAUCCACUCUACUAAUUACUCAC
Molecule: non-coding RNA, 146 nt
Organism: Peromyscus maniculatus bairdii (prairie deer mouse)
Lineage: Eukaryota; Metazoa; Chordata; Mammalia; Rodentia; Cricetidae
Source: RefSeq, a predicted model, not a curated record